GGAUAUAGCUUAGUGGUUGAGUGCUUGCCUAGCAUGUGUGAGGUCCUGAGUUUAAUCCCCAGCACCA
This 67-nucleotide transfer RNA is filed under the name Marmota monax (woodchuck). Its description in RNAcentral is "tRNA.Ala". Lineage: Eukaryota; Metazoa; Chordata; Mammalia; Rodentia; Sciuridae. The record is from RNAcentral.